CUUCAGGGAGCCCAGCCACAGGGGGUUCUCGGGGGCGCGGUCGCGCCCGUAGGUGGCCAAGAGCGCCUGAGCCUC
This 75-nucleotide antisense RNA is filed under the name Streptomyces noursei. RNAcentral describes it as "ASpks sRNA". It matches the Rfam family "ASpks TB sRNA". Lineage: Bacteria; Bacillati; Actinomycetota; Actinomycetes; Kitasatosporales; Streptomycetaceae. The record is from RNAcentral.